AGCCGAAUAAUUGCGCUUAGUAAUUAUUUAUUAAGUGAGGAAAGUCCGUGCAUCCGCAGAACAGACCGCCGGAGAAACUCCGGGCGUCGUGAGGCGGCGGAAAGUGCCACAGAAAUGUUGACUGCCGAUGGAUUAUUUUUAAUCACAGGCGAUGGUGCAACGGUGAGGUAAGAGCAUCACCAAAAAGAUCGGAAGGUCUUUGUUAGGUAAACCCCGGUCGGAUGCAAGAUUGAGUUCAAGGGUUAUAAUGGUUGUUCGCCGACUUUGAGAAAGAAUCGCUAGAGCUUGAGAGCAAUCUCAAGACCAGACAGAUAAUUAUUUUAAAACAGAACACGGCUUAUGAACUGCUUU
RNAcentral lists this RNase P RNA (351 nucleotides) under bovine gut metagenome. RNAcentral's name for it is "Bacterial RNase P class A". It matches the Rfam family "Bacterial RNase P class A". Rfam says of the family: Ribonuclease P (RNase P) is a ubiquitous endoribonuclease, found in archaea, bacteria and eukarya as well as chloroplasts and mitochondria. Its best characterised activity is the generation of mature 5'-ends of tRNAs by cleaving the 5'-leader elements of precursor-tRNAs. The record is from RNAcentral.